Molecule: ribosomal RNA, 253 nt
Filed under: uncultured bacterium
Lineage: Bacteria
Description: partial 16S ribosomal RNA
Rfam family: Bacterial small subunit ribosomal RNA
Source: RNAcentral
UACGUAGGCAGCAAGCGUUGUUCGGAGUUACUGGGCGUAAAGGGUGCGUAGGCGGCUUUUUAAGUUUGGUGUGAAAUCUCCCGGCUCAACUGGGAGGGUGCGCCGAAUACUGAGAGGCUAGAGUGUGGGAGAGGAAAGUGGAAUUCCUGGUGUAGCGGUGAAAUGCGCAGAUAUCAGGAGGAACACCGGUGGCGAAGGCGGGUCUCUGGGCCGAUACUGACGCUGAGGAGCGAAAGCGUGGGGAGCGAACAGG